Molecule: ribosomal RNA, 274 nt
Filed under: uncultured bacterium
Lineage: Bacteria
Description: partial 16S ribosomal RNA
Rfam family: Bacterial small subunit ribosomal RNA
Source: RNAcentral
AUACAGAGGGUGCGAGCGUUAAUCGGAAUUACUGGGCGUAAAGCGCGCGUAGGCGGCUUAUUAAGUCAGAUGUGAAAUCCCCGGGCUCAACCUGGGAACUGCAUCUGAUACUGGUAAGCUAGAGUUUUGGAGAGGGAAGUAGAAUUUCAGGUGUAGCGGUGAAAUGCCUAGAGAGCUGAAGGAAUACCAGUGGCGAAGGCGACUUCCUGGCCAAAAACUGACGCUGAGGUGCGAAAGCGUGGGUAGCAAACGGGAUUAGAAACCCUAGUAGUCC